AAUAACACUCUCUGAAAUAGAAUUCACUCCAAUGCUUUAAGGGUGCAGUUCAUAAGUUAGUGCUUUCUUGAUUCUCAAAACUUGCGGCAUCAAGAGAAUCAACUAUGGAAACAAAAGUUGCAGAAAUUUAAAGCGGCACUGUUUUGCCGAACUUGUCUUUCCUGGAAAUAGUUUUACUGCAUGCACUUUGGCAGAAUUAAAAAAUAUUUAUUGCAUUGUUUAACG
Non-coding RNA from Pelobates cultripes (western spadefoot toad), 225 nucleotides. The record is from the annotation of a GenBank genome assembly. Lineage: Eukaryota; Metazoa; Chordata; Amphibia; Anura; Pelobatidae.